GACGAACGCUGGCGGCGUGCCUAAUACAUGCAAGUAGAACGCUGAAGGAGGAGCUUGCUUCUCUGGAUGAGUUGCGAACGGGUGAGUAACGCGUAGGUAACCUGCCUGGUAGCGGGGGAUAACUAUUGGAAACGAUAGCUAAUACCGCAUAAGAGUAGAUGUUGCAUGACAUUUGCUUAAAAGGUGCAAUUGCAUCACUACCAGAUGGACCUGCGUUGUAUUAGCUAGUUGGUGAGGUAACGGCUCACCAAGGCGACGAUACAUAGCCGACCUGAGAGGGUGAUCGGCCACACUGGGACUGAGACACGGCCCAGACUCCUACGGGAGGCAGCAGUAGGGAAUCUUCGGCAAUGGACGGAAGUCUGACCGAGCAACGCCGCGUGAGUGAAGAAGGUUUUCGGAUCGUAAAGCUCUGUUGUAAGAGAAGAACGAGUGUGAGAGUGGAAAGUUCACACUGUGACG
Molecule: ribosomal RNA, 462 nt
Filed under: Streptococcus mitis
Lineage: Bacteria; Bacillati; Bacillota; Bacilli; Lactobacillales; Streptococcaceae
Description: bacterial SSU rRNA
Rfam family: Bacterial small subunit ribosomal RNA
Source: RNAcentral